AAUAAAUCCCUCUAAUUCUAGGACGCCUUUUCUGGUCUCAGAAGGGAAAUGUCUAUUUGUUCCAGCCGUGUGGCUUCAGUUGUGGUGUCACUCCUUCUGGCUUAGAAGCAGCUCUUGGCAAAUGAAGUUUCAUUAUCCUUUUACCCUUGUCAUCAUUCAAACACCAUCCUUGCUGCUUUUGGGUCACAGGCCUCAUAUGGCCUCCUGCUCCUGCAGUCAGGGCUCCUUGAAAGCUGGUUUCUUUUGAUAGCAAUAUUUUCCUGCCCAGAACUCAUGAUGUUGACAUGGUGCUACACCUCACCUCUUCUUCUGUCUCUGAACUGCUCCCCCUUCAGAGGACACAGGCAGCCACCCAGCUGCUCAAGUCUUUAGGCAGAAAAGAGAGAAGCGAGCAGAGAGACAGGGAGACCUCAUAUCAUCAAGAAACAAGAGCC
Trichechus manatus latirostris (Florida manatee) is the source of this 434-nucleotide long non-coding RNA. RefSeq lists it as uncharacterized. NCBI's taxonomy places the organism in Eukaryota, Metazoa, Chordata, Mammalia, Sirenia, Trichechidae. The transcript has 3 exons. The record is from RefSeq and is a predicted model, not a curated record.